This 440-nucleotide ribosomal RNA is filed under the name uncultured bacterium. RNAcentral describes it as "partial 16S ribosomal RNA". It matches the Rfam family "Bacterial small subunit ribosomal RNA", at positions 339 to 795 of the family's 1533-position model. The record is from RNAcentral.
CUACGGGGGGCACCAGUGGGGAAUAUUGGACAAUGGGCGAAAGCCUGAUCCAGCAAUGCCGCGUGAGUGAUGAAGGCCUUAACCGGUUGUAAAGCUCUUUUGUCAGGGAAGAUAAUGACGGUACCUGAAGAAUAAGCACCGACUAAUACGUGCCAGCAGUCGCGGUAAUACGUAGGGUGCAAGCGUUAUUCGGAAUUACUGGGUGUAAAGGGCGCGUAGGCGGAUAUGUUAGUUAUUUGUGUAAUUCCUGGGCUUAACCUGGGGUUUGCAAGUAAUACUGCAUAUCUAGAGUUUUAUAGAAGAUGAUAGAAGUCCUGGUGUAGGGGUUAAAUCCGCAGAUAUCAGGAGGAAUACCGAAAGCGAAAGCAGUCAUCUAUGUAAACACUGACGCUGAGGCGCGAAAGCGUGGGGAGCAAAUAGGAUUAGAUACCCGGGUAGUC